RNAcentral lists this ribosomal RNA (272 nucleotides) under uncultured bacterium. RNAcentral's name for it is "partial 16S ribosomal RNA". It matches the Rfam family "Bacterial small subunit ribosomal RNA", at positions 524 to 794 of the family's 1533-position model. The record is from RNAcentral.
UACGGAGGGUGCAAGCGUUAUCCGGAAUCACUGGGUUUAAAGGGUGCGUAGGCGGUUUUUUAAGUCAGUUGUGAAAUUCCCCCGCUUAACGGGAGGGACUGCGAUUGAUACUGAAGAACUUGAAUCAGGUUGAGGUAGGCGGAAUGUGACAUGUAGCGGUGAAAUGCAUAGAUAUGUCAUAGAACACCGAUUGCGAAGGCAGCUUGCUGGACCUGUAUUGACGCUGAGGCACGAAAGCGUGGGGAGCAAACAGGAUUAGAUACCCCUGUAGU